GAUCAUGGCUCAGGAUGAACGCUAGCUACAGGCUUAACACAUGCAAGUCGAGGGGAAACGACAUCGAAAGCUUGCUUCCGAUGGGCGUCGACCGGCGCACGGGUGAGUAACGCGUAUCCAACCUGCCCACCACUUGGGGAUAACCUUGCGAAAGUAAGACUAAUACCCAAUGAUAUCUCUAGAAGACAUCUGAAAGAGAUUAAAGAUUUAUCGGUGAUGGAUGGGGAGUGCGU
This 233-nucleotide ribosomal RNA is filed under the name uncultured bacterium. Its description in RNAcentral is "partial 16S ribosomal RNA". It matches the Rfam family "Bacterial small subunit ribosomal RNA", at positions 15 to 236 of the family's 1533-position model. The record is from RNAcentral.